UCCGGUGAUGAUGCCUAAAUGGAACCACCUGUACCCAUACCGAACACAGUAGUUAAGCAUUUAGAGGCCGAAAGUACUUGCAUGGAAACG
This 90-nucleotide ribosomal RNA is filed under the name Megamonas hypermegale. The record is from RNAcentral. Lineage: Bacteria; Bacillati; Bacillota; Negativicutes; Selenomonadales; Selenomonadaceae.